Molecule: long non-coding RNA, 1272 nt
Filed under: Theobroma cacao (cacao)
Lineage: Eukaryota; Viridiplantae; Streptophyta; Magnoliopsida; Malvales; Malvaceae
Description: long non-coding RNA (TCAC_LNC002911)
Source: RNAcentral
AUGGCCAGCCAUAGCAAGAACAAAGGAAGAAAAGAAGAACAAAAACCCUAGAGUGAAAAUUCAAGAGAAAAUUGGUGGAUUUCAAGUAAUCAAGCCAUCAAAGGUGAAAUUUCUUAACUCUAGCUUGUGAUCUAUCUUACCUAUGCAUUAUUUUGCAUUUUUCAUGGUUGAAUCACAAGUUAUCAUGAAGGAUAGUGUGCUGAUCAAACCCUAGGAGAGAUAAUUUGAUGAUGAUUUAGAUAGAUUUUUAAGUUAUAUGGAUGUUUUUAGUUGUUUAUGGUGUUAAGUGUAAGAAUUAAGCUUGAAAUUCACAUAUUCCUCAUGAGUUCAUCAUUGGCCAAAUCUUCCUUGUAGAGUGUUGAUGGUGGAUUUGAUUUUAUUUCAAGUGAAUUGGUUAGGAAAUGAUGAAUUAUGGUGAGAAAAUCAAGUAGGAAAAAUCAUAGUGUUGAUGCACUCACCAUGGCCGAAAUUCUCAAGAAGAAAUGUGAGGAUGGUUUUGCUAAAUUUUAUGUUAUUUGACUUGUGUUUGGUGAUUUGAAGUAUUGGGAGAAAAAUGAAAUUAUUUGGAGUUAAAUUGGACGUAUUGGCCAAUUAAUCGGGUGAUAGAUCGAAUUAGGCCAAUACCAUUUUAUUUAGGUACAUAAUUGAAUUUAUAUUGAACAUCAUAUUUAGAUAGUUACCCGAGUAUUUCAUAUCCCAUUUCAUGCAUUAGUAUAAAGCCUGAAUUGGUUUUACAACGGUUUAGCACAAAUUUAGUAAAUGGCUUAUUGUGCAUUAUGUCUAGGUGGUGAGCUUUCUGGCAAAAGUAAAGAGAUAGUACCCGAGGAUCAAGAAUCGGAGUACUCGAAAUUCGACUCCUGAAAUAGUGAGUAACCUUAUCAUCAUCUUGAUUAUCUAAAGUGAAUUUUAAUUCGUUUUUAUGAUUUUAUGGAAAAUGAGUUUAAAUGGUAAAUCUUUAUGUUUUAUAAACAAAAUGUGUUUAAAUGAAAUGAUUUUAUAAAAUUGUCUUGAAAUUGAAUGAUGGUUUUGAAAAUGGAGUAAUUGGAGACUAAUUGUUGUGUUAUAAAUCAUGGUUUAAGUUGAAUGGCUUAUGAUAAUAUUGGCAUGAAUAGUUGAAUUGGUAAAUGUGUUGAAAAUGUAUGAACUAUUGAUUUGGCUUGAGAGACUGUAAAACAAAAUAAUUGUCAUGUCAUGCUGUUGAAUUUUAUUGAAUUGGUGGGUUAUAAAUUGGUCGCUGUAGUGGACGAGUUCUGUGGACUAGCCUAUUAGAGG